This 218-nucleotide long non-coding RNA is filed under the name Mytilus galloprovincialis (Mediterranean mussel). Lineage: Eukaryota; Metazoa; Mollusca; Bivalvia; Mytilida; Mytilidae. The record is from RNAcentral.
CGAUGAUGACUGCUAUACCCCUAUUUUUACAAUUUUACUUCUUAUGUCUGUUUUGUUCACACAUUGUUGUCAAUAUAAUGUAAUUUGAUACGACUUUCAUACACGUGAGAGGUUAAGCGCUAUAAAAACAGGUUCAAUCCACCAUUUUCUACGGUUGAAAAUGUCAAGAAUAUAACAGUUGCUGUUCAUUCGUUUGAUGUGUUUUAUCAUUUGAUUUG